GCAAGUCGAACGGAAACGAUGGUAGCUUGCUACCAGGCGUCGAGUGGCGGACGGGUGAGUAAUGUAUCGGAAUACAUCCGCGAGAGGGGGAUAACAUAGCGAAAGUUAUGCUAAUACCGCAUAUUCUCUGAGGAGGAAAGAUGGGGAUCUUCGGACCUGUCGCUCACGGAGUAGCCGAUAUCGGAUUAGCUAGUAGGAGAGGUAAAAGCUCACCUAGGCGACGAUCCCUAGCUGGUCUGAGAGGAUGAUC
RNAcentral lists this ribosomal RNA (250 nucleotides) under uncultured bacterium. RNAcentral's name for it is "partial 16S ribosomal RNA". It matches the Rfam family "Bacterial small subunit ribosomal RNA", at positions 57 to 305 of the family's 1533-position model. The record is from RNAcentral.